AGAUUAACAUCAACCAACUAGGAUAAAUCAAACCUAUGGUUAAUGUAUGAAAACUUAUCAAGAAUGGACAAAGCCACAAAACAAUUGAGUGAGUGAAACUAACCAAUUAGGAUUAUUCACAAAAAUGGUCAAGAUAUGAUUAGAAUUCAAUUCAAAAGAAGUAUCAUGAAAAUGAAGUUUGAAAAAUCAGAGGCUUAAGGCCUAGGUUUCUAAUUUG
Molecule: long non-coding RNA, 217 nt
Filed under: Lathyrus oleraceus (garden pea)
Lineage: Eukaryota; Viridiplantae; Streptophyta; Magnoliopsida; Fabales; Fabaceae
Description: Pisum sativum (pea) long non-coding RNA (PSAT_LNC039619)
Source: RNAcentral